This 64-nucleotide transfer RNA is filed under the name Lichanura trivirgata (rosy boa). RNAcentral's name for it is "tRNA-Phe". It matches the Rfam family "tRNA". Rfam says of the family: Transfer RNA (tRNA) molecules are approximately 80 nucleotides in length. The record is from RNAcentral. Lineage: Eukaryota; Metazoa; Chordata; Lepidosauria; Squamata; Ungaliophiidae.
GCUAUUGUAGCUUAACUCUAAAGCACAGCACUGAAAAUGCUGAGAUGGAUACACCCAAAUAGCA